GACGAACGCUGGCGGCGUGCUUAACACAUGCAAGUCGAACGGUGAACCUCUUCGGAGGGGAUCAGUGGCGAACGGGUGAGUAACACGUGGGCAACCUGCCCCCGGCUCUGGUAUAACUCCAAGAAAUUGGGGCUAAUACCGGAUGUUCACCGCUUCCCGCAUGGGUGUUGGUGGAAAGGGUUUCCGGCUGGGGAUGGGCCCGCGGCCUAUCAGCUUGUUGGUGGGGUAGUGGCCUACCAAGGCGACGACGGGUAGCCGGCCUGAGAGGGUGACCGGCCACACUGGGACUGAGACAGGGCCCAGACUCCUACGGGAGGCAGCAGUGGGGAAUAUUGCGCAAUGGGCGGAAGCCUGACGCAGAGACGCCGCGUGGGGGAUGACGGCCUUCGGGUUGUAAACAUCUUUCAGCAGGGACGAAGCGCAAGUGACGGUACCUGCAGAAGAAGCACCGGCCAACUACGUG
RNAcentral lists this ribosomal RNA (463 nucleotides) under uncultured bacterium. RNAcentral's name for it is "partial 16S ribosomal RNA". It matches the Rfam family "Bacterial small subunit ribosomal RNA", at positions 28 to 507 of the family's 1533-position model. The record is from RNAcentral.